Molecule: ribosomal RNA, 529 nt
Filed under: uncultured Lactobacillus sp.
Lineage: Bacteria; Bacillati; Bacillota; Bacilli; Lactobacillales; Lactobacillaceae
Description: bacterial SSU rRNA
Rfam family: Bacterial small subunit ribosomal RNA
Source: RNAcentral
UAAAUACAAUGCAAGUCGAGCGAGCUUGCCUAUAGAAAGUCUUCGGAAUGGAAUAGAUACAAAGCUAGCGCGGAUGGGGGUGGAGUAACGCGUGGGGUAACCCUGCCCUUAAGGUCUGGGGAUACCAUUUGGAAAACAGAUGCCAAUACCGGAUAAAAGCUACUUUCGCAUGAAAGAAGUUUAAAAGGCGGCGUAAAGCUGUCGCUAAAAGGGAUGGACCUGCGAUGCAUUAGCUAGUUGGUAAGGUAACGGGCUUACCAAGGCGAUGAUGCAUAGCCCGAGUUGAGAGACUGAUCGGGCCACAUUGGGGACUGAGACACGGGCCCAAACUCCUACGGGAGGCAGCAGUAGGGAAUCUUCCACAAUGGACGAAAGUCUGAUGGAGCAAACGCCGCGUGAGUGAAGAAGGUUUUCGGAUCGUAAAGCUCUGUUGUUGGUGAAGAAGGAUAGAGGUAGUAACUGGCCCUUUAUUUGACGGUAAUCAACCAGAAAGUCACGGGCUAACUACGUGCCAGCAGCCGCGGUAAAU